RNAcentral lists this transfer RNA (69 nucleotides) under Meroles squamulosus. RNAcentral's name for it is "tRNA-Ile". The record is from RNAcentral. Lineage: Eukaryota; Metazoa; Chordata; Lepidosauria; Squamata; Lacertidae.
GGAUGUGUGCCUGAGCCAAAGGGUUACUUUGAUAGAGUAAACUACAGGGAAUAAAUACCCUCACCUCCU